UACGAAGGGGGCUAGCGUUGUUCGGAAUUACUGGGCGUAAAGCGCACGUAGGCGGACAUUUAAGUCAGGGGUGAAAUCCCGGGGCUCAACCCCGGAACUGCCUUUGAUACUGGGUGUCUUGAGUGUGGUAGAGGUGAGUGGAAUGCGAGUGUAGAGGUGAAAUUCGUAGAUAUUCGGAAGAACACCAGUGGCGAAGGCGACUCAC
Molecule: ribosomal RNA, 205 nt
Filed under: uncultured bacterium
Lineage: Bacteria
Description: partial 16S ribosomal RNA
Rfam family: Bacterial small subunit ribosomal RNA
Source: RNAcentral